GCUUACGGCCAUACCACCCUGAACACCCGAUCUCGUCAGAUCUCGGAAGCUAAGCAGGGUCGGGCCUGGUUAGUACUUGGAUGGGAGACCGCCUGGGAAUACCAGGUGCUGUAAGCU
Ribosomal RNA from Labrus bergylta (ballan wrasse), 117 nucleotides. Lineage: Eukaryota; Metazoa; Chordata; Actinopteri; Labriformes; Labridae. The record is from Ensembl.